Molecule: long non-coding RNA, 681 nt
Organism: Chelonus insularis
Lineage: Eukaryota; Metazoa; Arthropoda; Insecta; Hymenoptera; Braconidae
Exons: 3
Source: RefSeq, a predicted model, not a curated record
UGCAUUCGUGACGUUCCGUCCUUAUUCACGUCCACAAGAGAGUCAUUGGAGUUGGCAACAAGUCAAUCGGAAAUCCCGUUGUGUAGAUGUGGUUUAUAAGCGUCAACAAUCGCGCUUUCUCUGAAUAAUAAACAGCCAAUUACCAAUUGACCAUCGGCGAGAUGAACAAUGUAUAUAUUAUUGAAGAUUGUCCAUAAAUUGGCUCCAAAUGAUCACGCUUGACUGAACCAAUUGAUUGUCUUUUCUCUCAAUCAAAUACUUAAAGAACUUUCAAAAAUUUUAAUAACAUUCGAAUAACUGUGUAUAAUUUUGUUUCCGUAUCAACGAGUCGUCAAGUAACUUUCGCUUCUCUAAUGACAUUCGUUAAAAUUUGCCAAAGUCUUGUAAUAAAAAUGAUCAUUAUGGUUUUAGAAAAGAUAAAAUACUCCAAGCCUUUACAAUGUUAUUUAUCUCUCUAAAAUGGCUGAAUUAUUUACUGAUAUAUUCAUUAAUUAACAUAACGGUCUUAUUUUCAUUAUCAGACCUAGAACUGUCUGUGAUCAGACUGUCAGGAAUCACUACAAUAGGAAAGUUUUCGACAUCUCAUACUCCACAGACGCCCUAAAGGAUAAUUAACAAUGAUAGAGAAGUCUAUCACUAUUGAUUGAAUGAAAUUUUCAAAUAAUAAUAUCACAUUUAAUA